GACGAACGCUGGCGGCGUGCUUAACACAUGCAAGUCGAACGAAGAGCGAUGGAAGCUUGCUUCUCUCAAUCUUAGUGGCGAACGGGUGAGUAACGCGUAAUCAACCUGCCCUUCAGAGGGGGACAACAGUUGGAAACGACUGCUAAUACCGCAUACGAUCCAAUCUCGGCAUCGGGACUGGAUGAAAGGUGGCCUCUAUUUAUAAGCUCUCACUGAAGGAGGGGAUUGCGUCUGCUUAGCUAGUUGGAGGGGUAACGGCCCACCAAGGCGAUGAUCAGUAGACGGUCUGAGAGGAUGAACGGCCACAUUGGGACUGAGACACGGCCCAGACUCCUACGGGAGGCAGCAGUGGGGAAGCUUCCGCAAUGGACGAAAGUCUGACGGAGCAACGCCGCGUGAGUGAUGACGGCCUUCGGGUUGUAAAGCUCUGUUAAUCGGGACGAAUGGUUCUUGUGCGAAUAGGGCGAGGAUUUGACGGUACCGGAAUAGAAAGCCACGGCUAACUACGUA
RNAcentral lists this ribosomal RNA (510 nucleotides) under uncultured bacterium. RNAcentral describes it as "partial 16S ribosomal RNA". It matches the Rfam family "Bacterial small subunit ribosomal RNA", at positions 28 to 507 of the family's 1533-position model. The record is from RNAcentral.